RNAcentral lists this ribosomal RNA (496 nucleotides) under uncultured bacterium. Its description in RNAcentral is "partial 16S ribosomal RNA". It matches the Rfam family "Bacterial small subunit ribosomal RNA", at positions 28 to 507 of the family's 1533-position model. The record is from RNAcentral.
GAUGAACGCUGGCGGCGUGCCUAAUACAUGCAAGUCGAGCGAACAGACGAGGAGCUUGCUCCUCUGACGUUAGCGGCGGACGGGUGAGUAACACGUGGAUAACCUACCUAUAAGACUGGGAUAACUUCGGGAAACCGGAGCUAAUACCGGAUAAUAUAUUGAACCGCAUGGUUCAAUAGUGAAAGACGGUUUUGCUGUCACUUAUAGAUGGAUCCGCGCCGCAUUAGCUAGUUGGUAAGGUAACGGCUUACCAAGGCGACGAUGCGUAGCCGACCUGAGAGGGUGAUCGGCCACACUGGAACUGAGACACGGUCCAGACUCCUACGGGAGGCAGCAGUAGGGAAUCUUCCGCAAUGGGCGAAAGCCUGACGGAGCAACGCCGCGUGAGUGAUGAAGGUCUUCGGAUCGUAAAACUCUGUUAUUAGGGAAGAACAAAUGUGUAGUAACUAUGCACGUCUUGACGGUACCUAAUCAGAAAGCCACGGCUAACUACGUG